Long non-coding RNA from Scaptodrosophila lebanonensis, 1289 nucleotides. RefSeq lists it as uncharacterized. The transcript has 3 exons. Lineage: Eukaryota; Metazoa; Arthropoda; Insecta; Diptera; Drosophilidae. The record is from RefSeq and is a predicted model, not a curated record.
AAAUCGCACCAUUUUUCUCGUGCUCUCUUGCGUGCGUUCGGCUUGCAAAAACAGUUAAUUGCAAAUCGAAAACCGCAUAAAUUUAUUAAACUAGUGCAUUAAAUAGUUUAUAAAACAAGAGUGCUAUGCGAACAAGCCAACGCGAGUAGUUAGUGCAAAAUUCAAUUGCGAAAAUCGGCUGUAGUGUGUAACUGUGUAUGUGCGUGUGGUGCGUAUGUGUGUGCGUGUGCAAGAAAAAAUGAGGCGUAGUGAAAAUGCGUGCGAAAAUGUCUAAAAGCUGUUUAUGACAUCAAAACAAACGCAACAGCCAAAAGGCAGCGGAUCACAAAGUGCAAUUACAACAGGCCCUGAGCUUAACAACAACAAAGCCCAUUAAAUAAUAAUUAUAAUAAAGAAAUAGUGAUGAACGCGCGCGCCAAUUUAAAGCUGACCGGUUAGAUUUUACUUAACAAAUACAACUACUCGUACGCAGUGUCGUUGUUGUCGUUGCAUUAGCUAAAAAAGAGGAACUUUUCCAAAAAUUGAGAACACGCCCACAGGAAAAGGGAAGAAACACCUCUGUGUGAAUAUAAAAAAGUAGAAAAAUAUGUCACUUUGACUUGGGCGAAGUAUACAAAAAAAAUAUAUAUAGGCAGCAUAUAUAUACAAAAGCAUCGCUUUAAAUUUGUGAGAAAAAAUGUGCAAAAGUGUGUUUGUCAAAUUGUUUAGCCAAAAUUAUUUGUUUACAUAGUACCUAAAACUGCCUCAAUUGAGUUUCGUUCGCUUUACUUUCAUUCGCCUCCAAACAACAACAACUACAGCAGCCACAACAAAAACUUCACAUAGAUUUUUCGACGUUGACGACAAGCAUAGUGUUGUCGAGUUAAAUAAAAUAACAAAAUAUAUAUUUUUUUUCAUACCACCCCAAAAAAAUACAAAAACCAAACAAAAACUAAAAACAAAGAAAUGCUGCUCAAAUUGUAUAUUUGAUGUCAAACAAUAGCACAGCCGCCACAACAACAGCAACUGUAGCAAGGAACAAGAACAGUUACACACUGGAACAACAGCAAUUAGAACAACUAGAACAAGAACAACAGGAACAACAGCAACGGCAACAGCAACAGCUAAACCAAAAGCAACAAUUGUAAUUAAAGCAAGCACUAAGGCUCAGACGCUGUCCUCGCAUCCGCUGGUGAAAACCCUUGACCCUCAAUCGAGUGCUCCGAAGCUUGUCUCUCACACUCUCCCUUGUAUGCAUUGGAAGACGCAUGCGCGGCAUGCGUGGACUUUAACAGUUCAACAACGACAAC